AUGGGUGAGUAACACGUACCUAACCUACCUUUUGGACCGGGAUAACCAUUGGAAACAGCGGCUAAUACCGGAUAUAAUAAAAAAAUGCAUGUUUUUUUAUCAAAAGAAGCCUUUAAAGCUUCACCAAAAAAUGGGGGUGCGCAACAUUAGUUAGUUGGUAGGGUAAAGGCCUACCAAGACGAUGAUGUUUAGCGGGGCCAAGAGGCUGUACCGCCACACUGGGAUUGAGAUACGGCCCAGACUCCUACGGGAGGCAGCAGUAAGGAAUAUUCCACAAUGAGCGAAAGCUUGAUGGAGCGACACAGAGUGCAGGAUGAAGUCUUUAGGGAUGUAAACUGCUGUUGUAAGGGAAGAAAAAACUAGAUAGGAAAUGAUUUAGUCUUGACGGUACCUUAUUAGAAAGUGACGGCAAACUAUGUGCCAGCAGCCGCGGUAAUACAUAGGUCGCAAGCGUUAUCCGGAAUUAUUGGGCGUAAAGCGUCCGCAGGUUUUUUGUUAAGUUUAAGGUUAAAUGCUAAAGCUCAACUUUAGUUCGCUUUAGAUACUGACAAAAUAGAAUUAUGAAGAGGUUAGCGGAAUUCCUAGUGGAGCGGUGGAAUGCGUAGAUAUUAGGAAGAACACCAAUAGGCGAAGGCAGCUAACUGGUCAUAUAUUGACACUAAUGGACGAAAGCGUGGGGAGCAAACAGGAUUAGAUACCCUGGUAGUCCACGCCGUAAACGAUGAUCAUUAGUUGGUGGCAAAAGUCACUAGCACAGCUAACGCGUUAAAUGAUCCGCCUGAGUAGUAUGCUCGCAAGAGUGAAACUUAAAGGAAUUGACGGGAACCCGCACAAGCGGUGGAGCAUGUGGUUUAAUUUGAAGAUACGCGUAGAACCUUACCCACUCUUGACAUCCUCGCAAAACUAUAGAGAUAUAGCGGAGGCUAACGAGAUGACAGAUGGUGCA
RNAcentral lists this ribosomal RNA (946 nucleotides) under Mesomycoplasma ovipneumoniae. Its description in RNAcentral is "bacterial SSU rRNA". It matches the Rfam family "Bacterial small subunit ribosomal RNA", at positions 102 to 1045 of the family's 1533-position model. Lineage: Bacteria; Bacillati; Mycoplasmatota; Mycoplasmoidales; Metamycoplasmataceae. The record is from RNAcentral.